GUACUACUCCCUCCGUUCGGAAUAACUUGUCCAAAAAAUAAUGUAUCUAGAUGUAUUUUAGUUGUAGAUACAUUUAUUUUUAUCUAUUUUUGUGACAAGUAAUUCCCAACUGAGUGAGUAUAUG
Non-coding RNA from Triticum aestivum (bread wheat), 124 nucleotides. Lineage: Eukaryota; Viridiplantae; Streptophyta; Magnoliopsida; Poales; Poaceae. The record is from Rfam.